UACCGCGCUGUGCUGAUCAUUCCAUCUGGUCCUGAAAGUUAUGAGAUCUGCAGUGAUGUAUCGUUUAAAGGAUUUAGUUGCUUGUUGAUGCAGCAUGAUAGAGUUAUUGCAUAUGCGUCCCGUCAGUUGAGAUCUUGUGAGUUAAAUCAUUGGACGCACAUCGUAGAACUUGUAGUAAUUAUGUUCGUUUGGAAUUUUAGAGGCACUAUCGGUACAGAGGAAUAUUUCAUAUCGUC
This 236-nucleotide long non-coding RNA is filed under the name Eucalyptus grandis. Its description in RNAcentral is "long non-coding RNA (EGRA_LNC003538)". Lineage: Eukaryota; Viridiplantae; Streptophyta; Magnoliopsida; Myrtales; Myrtaceae. The record is from RNAcentral.